Molecule: long non-coding RNA, 826 nt
Organism: Scophthalmus maximus (turbot)
Lineage: Eukaryota; Metazoa; Chordata; Actinopteri; Pleuronectiformes; Scophthalmidae
Exons: 2
Source: RefSeq, a predicted model, not a curated record
AAGCUGCGACUGCAGGAACUCACAGCAAACCUGACGAACAUCCAUCAGCUGGAGGAGGCUCGCUGCUGGCAGCAGCACCUGCAAAGAGGAGGACACACACAUGGCGGCGCCGUUCAGACCUGGCUUAAACAAGCGUCUUGGCUGAUCCGAUCACAGCUUGCUAUCAGAUAUUGUCCCCCGCUCUAUAUGUACAUCAUUUCUUUCUGCAAAGAUCAAAUGCAAUGUCGUUUUUAAGAAGUUCCGGUGGGAGGUAGCACUGCACUUCAAGUCUGCCUGAAAUCAAAAGAAGAAGAAGAAGAAGCAAUCAUUUCAACACUGACUGGAUCUGUUCCCUGGCGUCUUUCGAGACAAGUAUUUUAACCACAACUCGCAGGCUUCCGCACGCGGUCUCCAAUCUGCCUCACAAAUUUGGGAUUCUGCACAUUCUGCACUGACGGAUAGUACAACAGAAGCGGAGAACCUGAGGUUUUACUGCACCGUAUAUAUACCAAUGCAUCUAUGCCUUUAUUAUAUACAGUCGUAAUUGGCACUUUUGGGAAAAGUUGUAUUAAAUAAGCAGGACCAAUUUGGCUAUAUAUUGGAUUUCCAGGAUUGUUGCCGUUGUUGAACCUUAAUUUGUCAAUUAAGAUUUUCAGAUUUAGACAAAAACCGACUCACGCUGACCAUAGCAACCAGGUCAGGGCAUCAGCAAUGAUCAAUCCACAUUAUGUCAAAUGUCAGUGUUUCCUCCAUCAAUUACAUUUGUUCGGUCACUUGGAGCCACUGAAUGAUUGAUUUGAAAAUAGACAAGUGUGUGUUCAUGGUAAUAAAGGAAUAUGGCACCUGG